This 484-nucleotide ribosomal RNA is filed under the name uncultured bacterium. RNAcentral's name for it is "SSU rRNA". It matches the Rfam family "Bacterial small subunit ribosomal RNA", at positions 26 to 518 of the family's 1533-position model. The record is from RNAcentral.
AGAAUGAACGUUGGCGGCGUGGAUUAGGCAUGCAAGUCGAACGAAUCCCAUCUGGGUAACUGGGUGGGGGAAGUGGCGAAAGGGGCAGUAAUGCAUGGGUAACUUGCCCUGGAGUUCGGGAUAGCCUUUCUAACGAAUGGGUAAUACCGAAUGCCGUACUGUGGGGGCAUCCUCGUAGUACGAAAGUUCCGACGCUCCGGGAGAGGUCCAUGUGGUAUUAGCUAGUUGGUGGGGUAACGGCCCACCAAGGCCAAGAUGCCUAGCGGGUGUGAGAGCACGACCUGCGUCACUGGCACUGGGACACUGGCCAGACUCCUACGGGAGGCUGCAGUCGAGGAUCUUCGGCAAUGGGCGAAAGCCUGACCGAGCGACGCCGCGUGUGCGAUGAAGGCCUUCGGGUUGUAAGCACUGUCGAGGGAAAGAAAGGCGCAAGCUUUGAUCGAUCUCUGGAGGAAGCUCGGGCUAAGUUCGUGCCAGCAGCCGC